CCAACCAUUCCUUUGUGGCAACCAACAGCCAAGAGUUGUCUUAAUUAACUUCAGCAGCUGAUUAAUUUCGGUUCAUACCUUUGUGACCAUCCAAUUUCGUUAUUUCACACCAUGGGAGCUAUUCAAAUUCAUUUGUUCACAUUUGGAAGCUGAUGGAGUUCAAGUGUUCACACUUGAGGGGCUGCUCAUAUUUGGUUUCACACCUAAUGUCCAUUGGAGCACUCAAGAUAUCAUUUAACACCUUCAAAACCAUUCAGCUGAUCAAAGCAGCUCAUUAAAAGUCUGUUCACACCUUUGGACGAAUUUGUUCAAUUUGUUUCAGCUCCAAAUUCAUUUCAAUCAAUCAAGUUGGCCUAGGAAGCAUCAAGGGACGUUUUGGAUUAAUCAAGGAAGUUUCCAACACCAUUAAGCUGAUUUGAGCUAUCCAUUUAUUUUUCCUAAGUGUCUAUUCGGCUGGAACAUUUGAAGCCUAUAAAUAGGUAUUUUGUAAACCAUUUGAAGGUU
Molecule: long non-coding RNA, 504 nt
Filed under: Gossypium barbadense (sea-island cotton)
Lineage: Eukaryota; Viridiplantae; Streptophyta; Magnoliopsida; Malvales; Malvaceae
Description: long non-coding RNA (GBAR_LNC023383)
Source: RNAcentral